CCAACAGGGAUUGCCUCAGUAACGGCGAGUGAAGCGGCAACAGCUCAAAUUUGAAAUCUGGUCCUUUCAGGGCCCGAGUUGUAAUUUGUAGAGGAUGUUUCGGGUGCGGCGCCGGUCUAAGUCCUUUGGAACCGGGCGUCAUAGAGGGUGAGAACCCCGUCUGUGACCGGCGACCAACCCCAUGUGUAACUCCUUCGACGAGUCGAGUUGUUUGGGAAUGCAGCUCAAAAUGGGUGGUAAAUUUCAUCUAAAGCUAAAUACCGGCCAGAGACCGAUAGCGCACAAGUAGAGUGAUCGAAAGAUGAAAAGCACUUUGGAAAGAGAGUCAAAAAGUACGUGAAAUUGUUGAAAGGGAAGCGCUGGCAACCAGACCUGCCUGCCGGCGAUCAACCUCCGUUCUCGGGGGUGCACUCGCCGGCGAUCAGGCCAGCAUCGGUUCGGGCGGCCGGAUAAAGGCCCCGGGAAUGUAGCUCCCCCCGGGGAGUCUUAUAGCCCGGGGUGCAAUGCGGCCAGCGCCGGACCGAGGACCGCGCUUCGGCAAGGAUGCUGGCGUAAUGGUUGUCAGCGACCCGUCUUGAAACACGGACCAAG
RNAcentral lists this ribosomal RNA (591 nucleotides) under Carbonicola myrmecina. RNAcentral's name for it is "eukaryotic LSU rRNA". It matches the Rfam family "Eukaryotic large subunit ribosomal RNA", at positions 65 to 670 of the family's 3401-position model. Lineage: Eukaryota; Fungi; Ascomycota; Lecanoromycetes; Lecanorales; Carbonicolaceae. The record is from RNAcentral.